AGUAACGCGUAGGAACGUACCCCAAAGUGAGGGAUAACUGCUCGAAAGAGUAGCUAAUACCGCAUGUGCUCUAAGGAGUAAAGCUUUAUGCGCUUUGGGAACGGCCUGCGUCUGAUUAGCUUGAUGGUGAGGUAAAAGCUCACCAUGGCGACGAUCAGUAGCUGGUCUGAGAGGAUGAUCAGCCAGACUGGGACUGAGACACGGCCCAG
RNAcentral lists this ribosomal RNA (209 nucleotides) under uncultured bacterium. RNAcentral describes it as "partial 16S ribosomal RNA". It matches the Rfam family "Bacterial small subunit ribosomal RNA", at positions 109 to 334 of the family's 1533-position model. The record is from RNAcentral.